Molecule: ribosomal RNA, 258 nt
Filed under: uncultured bacterium
Lineage: Bacteria
Description: partial 16S ribosomal RNA
Rfam family: Bacterial small subunit ribosomal RNA
Source: RNAcentral
GCAAGUCUAAGGAGAACGAAUUCUUCGGAAUUUUAUUAAACUGGCGAACGGGUGAGUAACGCGUAGACAACUUGCCCAGAGAUUUGGGAUAACACCGAGAAAUUGGUGCUAAUACCGAAUAACAUCACUUUGACCUAGGUCUUUGUGAUCAAAGGUGGCUUCGGCUACCGUCUCUGGAUGGGUCUGCGUCUGAUUAGCUAGUUGGUGAGGUAAGAGCUCACCAAGGCGACGAUCUUUAGCUGUUCUGAGAGGAUGAUC